RNAcentral lists this small RNA (133 nucleotides) under Smithella sp. F21. RNAcentral's name for it is "c-di-AMP riboswitch aptamer (ydaO/yuaA leader)". It matches the Rfam family "c-di-AMP riboswitch aptamer (ydaO/yuaA leader)". Rfam says of the family: This family represents a conserved RNA structure found upstream of the ydaO and yuaA genes in Bacillus subtilis and related genes in other bacteria. Lineage: Bacteria; Pseudomonadati; Thermodesulfobacteriota; Syntrophia; Syntrophales; Smithellaceae. The record is from Rfam by way of RNAcentral. RNAcentral also lists the same sequence under 1 other name.
GCCGUCAAAAUGCUUAAUCCUGACUUUACAGGAGCGGAGGAACCAUUUUUUUGAGGCGGAUCGCUUUUGGCGUAAGGCAACCUCUUCGGCCCGAGCCCUUCAGCUAACUUCGCAGGCUUCGAUGAGGAGACCC